AAUAGUGUAUUUUAAAAAAAAUGUUUGUUUUACACACAAAAGUUAAGUUAUGUUACUUCUCUAUUA
RNAcentral lists this transfer RNA (66 nucleotides) under Pseudochauhanea macrorchis. Its description in RNAcentral is "tRNA-Val". The record is from RNAcentral. Lineage: Eukaryota; Metazoa; Platyhelminthes; Monogenea; Mazocraeidea; Chauhaneidae.